CGGACGUGAGGGAACCUGCCUUCCAGAGGGGGACAACAGUUGGAAACGACUGCUAAUACCGCAUGAUGCGUUGGAGCCGCAUGACUCCGACGUCAAAGAUUUAUCGCUGGAAGAUGGCCUCGCGUCUGAUUAGCUAGUUGGUGAGGUAACGGCCCACCAAGGCGACGAUCAGUAGCCGGACUGAGAGGUUGGCCGGCCACAUUGGGACUGAGAUACGGCCCAGACUCCUACGGGAGGCAGCAG
Molecule: ribosomal RNA, 243 nt
Filed under: uncultured bacterium
Lineage: Bacteria
Description: partial 16S ribosomal RNA
Rfam family: Bacterial small subunit ribosomal RNA
Source: RNAcentral